This 285-nucleotide long non-coding RNA is filed under the name Ananas comosus (pineapple). RNAcentral describes it as "long non-coding RNA (ACOM_LNC027806)". The record is from RNAcentral. Lineage: Eukaryota; Viridiplantae; Streptophyta; Magnoliopsida; Poales; Bromeliaceae.
GCUGAGUUCCAGAACUUGGUGCUGAGGUUCUGAAAGAAGAACCAGGUUUCGGAACCUAUCAUCAAGUUUCACAUAACCAGUACUCUCUACCUGCACUGCUACACUGGAUGGCUCAAGAACAACAUCUCUGGUUCCAAAACCAAGUCCCAUACGACUUUUCCAGCAGUGCCAACUUCACAUCUUUUGUGGAAUUGCCACACGAGAACCAAGUCCCAUACGACUUUUCCAGCAGUGCCAACUUCACAUCUUUUGUGGAAUUGCCGCACGAAUUCAACUAGAAUCCAC